RNAcentral lists this ribosomal RNA (109 nucleotides) under uncultured bacterium. Its description in RNAcentral is "partial 16S ribosomal RNA". It matches the Rfam family "Bacterial small subunit ribosomal RNA", at positions 1358 to 1482 of the family's 1533-position model. The record is from RNAcentral.
CGCGGCGAAUACGUUCCCGGGUCUUGUACACACCGCCCGUCACACCACGAAAGCCCAUUGCAACAGAAGUGCCCGUAAGGGCCCGAAGUUGUGGUUGGUGAUUGGGGUG